ACUACCGAGUACCUAUAAGUACCUAGAAUUUCGUUGGAAAAAGUCUUUCGUCGUCGUCGUCUUCUUCGAAAACCGGAAAAUGAACACAACUUUCGAAUAAUUCGAAAUUGCAGUAACUAUCUAUGCACACGUGAGUCCAUAAAAUAAUUCAUUGGAAUUUUGUCAUUCAUAAAAAAAACUAAGUAUAUAAGCACACUAAGUAUAGUAGUAUUGGUUUACUCAUUCAUAGUGCAUUACAGAAGUUAUACUACGUUUCAAAACACCAAUUUUCUACAUUAGCUCUUCGAACUUGAAAUUUGCUAAUUGUACGUAAGAUUCCUACAACACGUAUCUUCAAACAUGGGCAAUAAAACAUCUCAGAUUGUCGACGAUGUCAUCAUUUUCUUCAAGGGGCCAUCGGAUCGAAAAAUACAAGAAAUCACUGCAACGACAGUUGGUCCAGUACAACGUCCACCACCGAUGACUCCAUCAAAUGAUCAAUCGGAUGGUUCGAGCCAACCUUCAAGAAAAUAGCAGUCUCAGAACGUUUCAGAAAAAUCAAAAUAAAUAAUGAGUAGGUAAUUGGUCGGAGAAGACGAAGAUCAUGAUAAUGAAAUAAAUUUUAGUGAACAUCAAUACCUCAUCACUUUGCUCCAAAUAUGUACAAGUAUAUGCUAAGUAUUUUUAUUUUUAACGAAAACAUAAUUCUAUCCACUUUCUUGUAACUUUCCUUUCAUAAUAAAUUAAUUUUAUACUCAUCUA
This is a long non-coding RNA of Planococcus citri (citrus mealybug), 741 nucleotides long. RefSeq lists it as uncharacterized. The record is from RefSeq and is a predicted model, not a curated record. The transcript is spliced from 5 exons. Lineage: Eukaryota; Metazoa; Arthropoda; Insecta; Hemiptera; Pseudococcidae.